Molecule: ribosomal RNA, 421 nt
Filed under: uncultured Alphaproteobacteria bacterium
Lineage: Bacteria; Pseudomonadati; Pseudomonadota; Alphaproteobacteria
Description: bacterial SSU rRNA
Rfam family: Bacterial small subunit ribosomal RNA
Source: RNAcentral
GAGUUUGAUCCUGGCUCAGGAUGAACGCUAGCGGCAGGCCUAACACAUGCAAGUCGAACGGCUCUUCGGAGCAGUGGCGGACGGGUGAGUAACGCGUGGGAACGUGCCCUUUGGUUCGGAACAACACAGGGAAACUUGUGCUAAUACCGGAUGUGCCCUUCGGGGGAAAGAUUUAUCGCCAUUGGAGCGGCCCGCGUUGGAUUAGGUAGUUGGUGGGGUAAAGGCCCACCAAGCCUACGAUCCAUAGCUGGUCUGAGAGGAUGAUCAGCCACACUGGGACUGAGACACGGCCCAGACUCCUACGGGAGGCAGCAGUGGGGAAUCUUGCGCAAUGGGCGAAAGCCUGACGCAGCCAUGCCGCGUGAAUGAUGAAGGUCUUAGGAUUGUAAAAAUUCUUUCACCGGGGAAGAUAAUGACGGUA